Molecule: ribosomal RNA, 489 nt
Filed under: uncultured bacterium
Lineage: Bacteria
Description: bacterial SSU rRNA
Rfam family: Bacterial small subunit ribosomal RNA
Source: RNAcentral
GAUGAACGCUAGCUACAGGCUUAACACAUGCAAGUCGAGGGGCAGCAUGAACUUAGCUUGCUAAGUUUGAUGGCGACCGGCGCACGGGUGAGUAACACGUAUCCAACCUGCCGAUGACUCGGGGAUAGCCUUUCGAAAGAAAGAUUAAUACCCGAUGGCAUAGUUCUUCCGCAUGGUAGAACUAUUAAAGAAUUUCGGUCAUCGAUGGGGAUGCGUUCCAUUAGGUUGUUGGCGGGGUAACGGCCCACCAAGCCUUCGAUGGAUAGGGGUUCUGAGAGGAAGGUCCCCCACAUUGGAACUGAGACACGGUCCAAACUCCUACGGGAGGCAGCAGUGAGGAAUAUUGGUCAAUGGACGAGAGUCUGAACCAGCCAAGUAGCGUGCAGGAUGACGGCCCUAUGGGUUGUAAACUGCUUUUAUAAGGGAAUAAAGUGAGUCUCGUGAGGCUUUUUGCAUGUACCUUAUGAAUAAGGACCGGCUAAUUCCGUG